This 419-nucleotide ribosomal RNA is filed under the name Ligidium germanicum. RNAcentral describes it as "partial 16S ribosomal RNA". It matches the Rfam family "Bacterial large subunit ribosomal RNA", at positions 1941 to 2601 of the family's 2925-position model. The record is from RNAcentral. Lineage: Eukaryota; Metazoa; Arthropoda; Malacostraca; Isopoda; Ligiidae.
CCUGACUGUGCUAAGGUAGCAUAAUAAUUUGUCUCUUAAUUGGAGACUUGUAUAAACGAGUUGACGAAGAGAACGCUGUCUCCUUUAAGGUUCUUAAAUUUACCUUUAAGGUUAAAAGGCCUUAUUAUCCCAAAGGGACGACAAGACCCUAAAAACUUUUUUCCUCACUAAUAAAAUAAGAAAUCUAGAUCUGGGAAAUUAACUGGGGCGGUAAAUUGCAACAAAAUUUAUUUUAACACUUUGGGUGGGCUUAAAAUACAUGAAUACAUAUAAGAACUAGUUACUUUAGGGAUAACAGCGCAAUUUUUCCAGAGAGUUCAAAUCGGCGGAAAAGAUUACGACCUCGAUGUUGAAUUGAAAAUCCUUCCGAAGAGCAGAAGCACGGAAAGGAAGUCUGUUCGACUUUUAAAUUUUCACAU